RNAcentral lists this ribosomal RNA (250 nucleotides) under uncultured bacterium. RNAcentral's name for it is "partial 16S ribosomal RNA". It matches the Rfam family "Bacterial small subunit ribosomal RNA", at positions 524 to 773 of the family's 1533-position model. The record is from RNAcentral.
AACGUAGGAGGCAAGCGUUAUCCGGAUUUACUGGGCGUAAAGCGCGUGUAGGCGGUUUGGAAAGUUGGAUGUGAAAGCUCCUGGCUUAACUGGGAGAGGUCGUUCAAUACUUCCAGACUAGAGUAUGGUAGAGGGAGGUGGAAUUCCGGGUGUAGUGGUGAAAUGCGUAGAUAUCCGGAGGAACACCAGUGGCGAAAGCGGCCUCCUGGACCAUUUCUGACGCUCAGACGCGAAAGCUAGGGUAGCAAAC